CAGUAGCCACGGUAAUACGUAGGUGGCAAGCGCUGUCCGGAAUUAUUGGGCGUAAAGGGCUCGCAGGCGGUUUCUUAAGUCUGAUGUGAAAGCCCCCGGCUCAACCGGGGAGGGUCAUUGGAAACUGGGAAACUUGAGUGCAGAAGAGGAGAGUGGAAUUCCACGUGUAGCGGUGAAAUGCGUAGAGAUGUGGAGGAACACCAGUGGCGAAGGCGACUCUCUGGUCUGUAACUGACGCUGAGGAGCGAAAGCGUGGGGAGCGAACAGGAUUAGAUACCCGAGUAGUCCCUGUCUCUUAUAC
RNAcentral lists this ribosomal RNA (301 nucleotides) under uncultured bacterium. RNAcentral's name for it is "partial 16S ribosomal RNA". It matches the Rfam family "Bacterial small subunit ribosomal RNA", at positions 509 to 807 of the family's 1533-position model. The record is from RNAcentral.